This 218-nucleotide ribosomal RNA is filed under the name uncultured bacterium. Its description in RNAcentral is "partial 16S ribosomal RNA". It matches the Rfam family "Bacterial small subunit ribosomal RNA", at positions 66 to 305 of the family's 1533-position model. The record is from RNAcentral.
GCGAAAUCACUUCGGUGAGAGUAGAGUGGCGCACGGGUGAGUAACGCGUGGGAACCUGCCUUUUUCUGCGGGAUAACGGUUGGAAACGACCGCUAAUACCGCAUACGCCCUACGGGGGAAAGGUCCGCCGGAAAAAGAGGGGCCCGCGUCUGAUUAGCUUGUUGGUAGGGUAAUGGCCUACCAAGGCAACGAUCAGUAGCUGGUCUGAGAGGAUGAUC